GACGAACGCUGGCGGCGCGCCUAACACAUGCAAGUCGAACGAGCGAGAGAGAGCUUGCUUUCUCGAGCGAGUGGCGAACGGGUGAGUAACGCGUGAGGAACCUGCCUCAAAGAGGGGGACAACAGUUGGAAACGACUGCUAAUACCGCAUAAGCCCACGGCUCGGCAUCGAGCAGGGGGAAAAGGAGCAAUCCGCUUUGAGAUGGCCUCGCGUCCGAUUAGCUAGUUGGUGAGGUAACGGCCCACCAAGGCGACGAUCGGUAGCCGGACUGAGAGGUUGAACGGCCACAUUGGGACUGAGACACGGCCCAGACUCCUACGGGAAGCAGCAGUGGGGAAUAUUGCACAAUGGGGGAAACCCUGAUGCAGCGACGCCGCGUGGAGGAAGAAGGUCUUCGGAUUGUAAACUCCUGUUGUUGGGGAAGAUAAUGACGGUACCCAACAAGGAAGUGACGGCUAACUACGUG
This 466-nucleotide ribosomal RNA is filed under the name uncultured bacterium. RNAcentral's name for it is "partial 16S ribosomal RNA". It matches the Rfam family "Bacterial small subunit ribosomal RNA", at positions 28 to 507 of the family's 1533-position model. The record is from RNAcentral.